RNAcentral lists this ribosomal RNA (496 nucleotides) under uncultured bacterium. RNAcentral describes it as "partial 16S ribosomal RNA". It matches the Rfam family "Bacterial small subunit ribosomal RNA", at positions 29 to 507 of the family's 1533-position model. The record is from RNAcentral.
AUGAACGCUGGCGGCGUGCCUAAUCCAUGCAAGUCGCGCGAACGGACGAGAAGCUUGCUUUUCUGAUGUUAGCGGCGGACGGGUGAGUAACACGUGGAUAACCUACCUAUAAGACUGGGAUAACUUCGGGAAACCGGAGCUAAUACCGGAUAAUAUUUUGAACCGCAUGGUUCAAAAGUGAAAGACGGUCUUGCUGUCACUUAUAGAUGGAUCCGCGCUGCAUUAGCUAGUUGGUAAGGUAACGGCUUACCAAGGCAACGAUGCAUAGCCGACCUGAGAGGGUGAUCGGCCACACUGGAACUGAGACACGGUCCAGACUCCUACGGGAGGCAGCAGUAGGGAAUCUUCCGCAAUGGGCGAAAGCCUGACGGAGCAACGCCGCGUGAGUGAUGAAGGUCUUCGGAUCGUAAAACUCUGUUAUUAGGGAAGAACAUAUGUGUAAGUAACUGUGCACAUCUUGACGGUACCUAAUCAGAAAGCCACGGCUAACUACGUG